GACUAAUCACCAUGGCUACAUAGUUGCUGAAUUCUGAUUGGCUAUCCUGGAUCAUGUGACUACCCUUGGACCAUUCACCAUGGCCAGCCCUGGACGAAUCACUGUGGCCAUGUAAUUGGUGAAUUCUCAUUGGCUAUCCUGGAACAUGUGACUACCCUUGGACCAAUCACCAUGGCAAGAUAGAGACAGUGUGAGCAGGGGAGAGGCAGAGAGAGAGAGGAAGACACAUUAUCCGAAGCAGGCUCCAGGCUCCAAGCUGUCAGCACAGAGCCUGAUGUGGGGAUCGAACCCACGAACUGUGAGAUCAUGACCUGAGCCGAAGUCGGGCUCUCAACCAACUGAGCCACCCAGGUGC
Molecule: long non-coding RNA, 355 nt
Organism: Neofelis nebulosa (Clouded leopard)
Lineage: Eukaryota; Metazoa; Chordata; Mammalia; Carnivora; Felidae
Exons: 3
Source: RefSeq, a predicted model, not a curated record